Molecule: small RNA, 107 nt
Filed under: Marmota monax (woodchuck)
Lineage: Eukaryota; Metazoa; Chordata; Mammalia; Rodentia; Sciuridae
Source: RNAcentral
GCUGGGUGUGGGGGUGCACACCUGUAAUCCCAACAACUCAGGAGGCCGAGGCAGGAGAAUUUCAGGUUUGAGACCAGCUUAGGCAAUUUAGCAAGAGCCUGUCUCAA